GCCGCGAUAGCUCAGUUGGUAGAGCGCAUCCAUGGUAAGGAUGCAUCCCUAUCAGAGGUGACUAAGCUAGGCCGUCGGCG
Molecule: transfer RNA, 80 nt
Filed under: Candidatus Saccharimonadota bacterium
Lineage: Bacteria; Candidatus Saccharimonadota
Description: tRNA-Thr
Source: RNAcentral